RNAcentral lists this ribosomal RNA (477 nucleotides) under uncultured bacterium. RNAcentral's name for it is "partial 16S ribosomal RNA". It matches the Rfam family "Bacterial small subunit ribosomal RNA", at positions 30 to 507 of the family's 1533-position model. The record is from RNAcentral.
AUUGAACGCUGGCGGCAUGCCUUACACAUGCAGGUCGAACGGUAACAGGUUAAGCUGACGAGUGGCGAACGGGUGAGUAAUGUAUCGGAACGUGCCCAGUCGUGGGGGAUAACUGCUCGAAAGAGCAGCUAAUACCGCAUACGACCUGAGGGUGAAAGCGGGGGAUCGCAAGACCUCGCGCGAUUGGAGCGGCCGAUAUCAGAUUAGGUAGUUGGUGAGGUAAAGGCUCACCAAGCCGACGAUCUGUAGCUGGUCUGAGAGGACGACCAGCCACACUGGGACUGAGACACGGCCCAGACUCCUACGGGAGGCAGCAGUGGGGAAUUUUGGACAAUGGGCGCAAGCCUGAUCCAGCCAUGCCGCGUGCGGGAAGAAGGCCUUCGGGUUGUAAACCGCUUUUGUCAGGGAAGAAAAGGUUCUGGCUAAUACCUGGGACUCAUGACGGUACCUGAAGAAUAAGCACCGGCUAACUACGUG